RNAcentral lists this ribosomal RNA (468 nucleotides) under uncultured bacterium. Its description in RNAcentral is "partial 16S ribosomal RNA". It matches the Rfam family "Bacterial small subunit ribosomal RNA", at positions 28 to 507 of the family's 1533-position model. The record is from RNAcentral.
GACGAACGCUGGCGGCGUGCUUAACACAUGCAAGUCGAACGGAAAGGCCCUGCUUUUUUGGGGUGCUCGAGUGGCGAACGGGUGAUUAACACGUGAGUACCCUGCCCUUGACUUUAGGAUAACUUCAGGAAACUGGGUCUCAUACCGGAUAUGCGCUCCUGCUGCAUGGUGGGGGUUGGAUAGUUUCGUCGGUUGGGGCUGGACUCGCGUCGUAUCAGCUUGUUGGUGGGGUAGUGGAUUACCAAGGCUUUGACGGGUAGCCGGCCUGAGAGGGUGACCGGCGACACAGGGACUGAGAGACGGCAGAGACGGGUAAGGGAGGCAGAAGGGGGGAAUAUUGAACAAGGGGCGGAAGGCGGGUGAAGAAACGCUGCGUGUGGGAAGACGGUCUUGGGGGUGAAAACAGCGUAGGGGUUAAAAGAAGCGGGAGUGACGGUAAUGGGUAAAGAAGCACCGGCUAACUAAGUG